This 1668-nucleotide long non-coding RNA is filed under the name Brachypodium distachyon (stiff brome). RNAcentral describes it as "long non-coding RNA (BDIS_LNC004805)". The record is from RNAcentral. Lineage: Eukaryota; Viridiplantae; Streptophyta; Magnoliopsida; Poales; Poaceae.
AUUCCCCACGCGUUCAUCAUAUCCCGUCCCCAACGAUGGACUCAUAUUACUGUUUUUUAUUUUCUGUAAUUUUUAUAGAUUUUUCUGAGAAGAUUGAAUUUUGGACAAAUUUGAAUUAUUUUUUAAACCUUUAUGGCGCUUGGAAGACUCGAACGUACUGCUGAACGUUGUAAAUAGGGGUAUUAUGAUAAAUACUGUUAUAUACGCUUAAAUACAUGUAUUUUAUGAACACUUAUUGGUCUUAAGUGGUCUUAAGGAGUCUGCAGAGUUGAGCCACUGGGUGGUACUGCCUAGUGACCCAGCCUCCUUGCACGACGUGCUUCCCAUUUGGUUCCUGUAGUCUUCUCGUCCAACCUCAAACCUGUCUGACUUCGGAGUUCCGAAAAUGUUUAUUAGUCCAUGUUUGCCUGCAACACUUGUAUCUAAUAGUAUAAUUCUGUACCGAAUUGCAUGUCAAUGCUGAUAUAUUAUAUUGCCCUGUAAUCAUAUUUUGCAUUUUCUAGUCCCCGUCGAAGGCGCUAUGUGAAAGGGCCACCCCGGCGCCCAUCGCCACGUACUAUAACCAAGCUCUGUCUCAACACGAGGAGGAGGUAUGAACAACAUGGAUGAACAUAUUCAUUAAUUGUCUCUUUCUUUACAUGGCAUUCACACAUGUGGGUCCUAAUUCUUUGCUUUUUGCAGCCUUUCUUCUUCAAGCCUUCAACCUGGUAUAAUAUAUCACCCUCUCUUCAAACAUCUUCUGUUGCCAUCAAAUAAUCAACAUAGCUCAUACAACAUGUACAUAUGUCAGAGCUCUAGUGAAUGAUCCUGGCCUAUGUUUUUCAAUUGCAGGAUUUGCCAUUAAUUCACUGAACCAGGUGGCGGAUCUUAUCAGUAAGAUUAUUCUUGCAUAUAAGUCUAUUUCCAGUUUUAGCUUCUAGUUCGUAGCAUUCGGUAGCUUGAACACACAUGUAACUUAUGAUGGCAUUCCAAUUGCACUACAUCUAGAACAUAUCUGAUUUUUUUCCUAGUGUUUCUUUUUUUUUGGGAAAUCACUUGAAAAUGGAGUUCCUAUCUGCUAAUAAACUUCUGUGAUGAUAUUCAGUGGAAUGUUUCAAUAUUGGUGAAUCACUGGAGUUUCUUCAAUCAAGUAAGAAGGAAGGUAAUUAAUUCACAUUUGCCUCGUUUAAAAAAGGAUCGCACUUAUUUCAUCCUUGAUUUUAGCCACUUGUCAUUGUGUCCAUAUGCUUCCUCUCUGAGAUUUGAACUGGAUGUGUAAUUUGUUCGAUCCUUUCGGGCAACAUCUGCAUACUAUUAUCUCAAGUAGCUUUCCUUCCCUUUCAAGUUCAGUUUCCGGCAUGGGUAUUUUGGGAGACAGUAGCCUGGCAUGUUAAUUAACUUGAUUAUAUGCGUAAUUAGUUCAAAUAAGUUAUCUUACUUUGACACCUUGUAUCUUGCUUGUUUACUAGUUUCAUGCACUUCAUCUUUAUUACCACCAGUUAUUUCUCUUGAUUACUGCAAACAAUUUAUAAUGUAUGUUUGUUGCUUUUGAAUUGUUCCGGUAGAUUUACGGGUAAGGUACUUAUGUGUUGUGGCUUAUAAGCUGUAGUACUUUAGAUGCUACAUUCUUUGGUGUCCCUUAUAGUUUGCCCCUAUAUUUGCUAGUUACACUACAAAAAUAUCUGUAGU